GGCGCCGGACAGGACGGCCGCCGUGGCGGACGAGAGGAGGCGCUGCAGGAGCGGGUCCCGAAGGAGGGCACCGGCGGCGCCAGUGGAGUCCUGCUGGUGGCUUCCUUUCGUCUCCCCACGGCGGCAAUCACCGAGCGCACGGAGGCGGGUGGCGGCACAGAGAGUGGUGGCGACGUGCGCGCAGCCUUGAGGAGCUCAGACGGUGAGGCUUGACGAGGAGGGGAGGAGCAGCGCUGUUCGUCGAGUCCUGGCGGCCAUGGAAAAGAUGAAGGAGGCGUGGAGUUGUCACGGAUGGAGCGUCGGCCGUCGCCGUCGACCGGUUCAGGCAAGUCGAUCCCCUCUGUUCUCCUCUCGAUCUCUCUCUCGUUGUGCACUCAGAGUCUGUUGAUGAUGAUUUGUUGCUCCUUUUGCAGCUUUGACAUGGAUUUAAGUCUAGAUCUUGUUGAGGUGAAAAUAUCUUCCCAGCCAGCCUCAGCAACUCGUGCACCCUGCAGCAAGACUGCUGGAGCUGCUGGCGAGCUUGACGGCCAGGAUCCGGUGGCCGGAGGCGCUCGGCGAAGGGCGCCGCCUGUGGUGCACGGGGACAGGGAGGGCGCCUCCGGUGGUGCACGGGGCCAUGGCGGCAAUGCAGUGUUGACCAUGGACGUGGUGCCCACGCGGCAGGAGGAUCACAUGGCCAGGGUAGCUGAUCUGCUGUCUCUCCCAUGGCCGAGGGAAGCUGCUUCGGGAGAGAGAAAGUCUCAAACUGUCCCUGUACACCUAUUUACAGAUUUGUGGUGUGCCCUGGUUUGAACCGAGAUUGGUUUAUUUUGGGUACAGAGAAUGCUGCAUUGGCAAAGAGCAAGGGCGAGAAGGCUGAGUUCAUCAGCCUGAUAUGGCGCUACCUCUGUGGGGAGGCAGAGCAUAUGGAGUGUUGUAAUAUUUCCAUACCGCAAUGAUGAGAUGGUGAUUCUAGACGAAUCCUCUAACUGGUUGAUUGGGUCACACAUACAUGUCAAAGUUGUGGACACUGUAGUGCUUGGUGGAACUGGCUGCAAAAAUGUGUCCCCUAAUAUUUUUUGUGGCCUGCAAUGUGGAUUGAGGUAUAUGCCGAUGAGAUUGGACCAGGGGGAUGCUAUCAGGCAGGCGUCUAUUUCUUAGAUGAUCUGGCUUAUAAAAUUAUGUUACUGAAGAAUAUUGGUGAAGAACUAUGAAGAUGCACCCUAUGUUGGCUUAUUUGGUUUGCCUCGGAUAAACGAGCACCAUUCUCACCUUUGAGAGCUGCAGCAGCCGUCCACAGAUGACACUUAUUUCCGAAAACAGUUUUGGUGUUCCAUCUUCUCCAAGCAAAGCCACAUGCCUUGGACCUGCUCCGCUCUAAUUUGGUAAUAGACGGCGGUUGGCAAGAGAGCACGUUAGGAUGGGGCAAAGGAGGGGCACUGGCUUACCAAAGAUAUGGAUGGUCUGGAUUUAGAAUGCCAAAAUCCUAAUUUUCUGUUUAACCCAUUUGCCUUAUUUAUAUGUAUUCUUUAGCUUCCCAGUUAUAUUAUCUAUUUAGCUUAGAUGCCAUCAGAGUAUUUGUUAAUUAUGGUCAAAGUGUUAUUUGUUAAGCGCUCCACCGUCUUUCUG
Non-coding RNA from Lolium perenne, 1608 nucleotides. The record is from RefSeq and is a predicted model, not a curated record. Lineage: Eukaryota; Viridiplantae; Streptophyta; Magnoliopsida; Poales; Poaceae.